This 5608-nucleotide long non-coding RNA is filed under the name Vigna radiata. RNAcentral's name for it is "long non-coding RNA (VRAD_LNC010475)". Lineage: Eukaryota; Viridiplantae; Streptophyta; Magnoliopsida; Fabales; Fabaceae. The record is from RNAcentral.
UUAAAAAUGUGAGAAAGAUUGAUAUGGGAGAGAGACACGUGGAGAUGGGCAAAGGACACGUGGACGGUGAUAAGGAAAGCAAAGAAGGAAGAAAAAGCAUGAGGCACCGAAAACCAAAUACUCUUUUAAAGGAUUUCCAACUGUGAGAGAAGGCAUGAUUUGGGUAAUAUUCUUCCUCCUGAAAAUUCUUCUUCUGAUAACUUCUCCGCUUCGUCACUCUGCAUUCUUAUCUCUGUCAUAUUCUGAUUCAGGUGAAUUCUGGACUGCACGUGGCUGGGAGGAUUGCUGAUUAGUGGCAAUUUUUUUAUGCUUUUAUUAUUUCAUACAGAAACUUAUUCAUAAACCUUGUUUUGUAUUGUGUUGGCCACUGAUAUAAAUACAUAGUGAAUAUAUACUGUUUCAUUGGUGCUUUCAUUGUCAUCAAUGGCGGACAACAACGAACGUACGCGGCUUCAAACUAUGCAGAGUCAAAUUAAUACUCUGACAUCGUGGAUGGAAGAACAACGCAAAAAUCAACAAGAAUAUCACGACCGCUUUGAGAAACUACAGAAAACGAUGGAGCUGUUACUGCGGAAUCAGGGUUGCGCCGUCGGUGGUACGAACUCAGAUGGAGGCACUCCGAACUCUUCGGUUACUUCUAUUCCUUCUUCUGUUCGAGACAUUUCUCUGGGUUUUCCACAUUUUGAUGGUCAUACUCCAGUUUUGGAGUGGAUUUUUAAAGCUGAGAAGUUCUUCAACUAUCAUCAUACGCCUGAUGAGGAUCGAGUAGAAAUUGCUGCUAUUCAUUUUGAGAAAGACGUCAUUCCGUGGUUCCAAAUGCUUCAACGCAUGGAAUCGAUGCAUUCUUGGUCCGAUCUUACUCGUGCCUUGGAAUCUCAGUUUGGACCCUCUCCUUUUGAUUGUCCUAUGGGUGAAUUGUUUAAACUCCAGCAAAUUGGUUCUGUCUCAGAGUAUUACUUGAAAUUCACAGGUUUAGCUAACAGAUCAGAUGGACUUUCGAAUGCGGCUAUUUUAAAUUGUUUUGUGAGUGGGUUGAAUCCUGAUAUUCGGAGGGAUGUCGUGGCACAGAGUCCUACAACCUUGCUUAGAGCCGUGUCAUUGGCUAAAUUGUAUGAGGAAAAAUAUGUACCCAAAGUUAUCUCUCGUCCUACCAAUUAUGUUCAAAAAUAUACUUCCCUUCAUGCUACUGCUUCUCCUUCCAUUUCAGUAUCUGCUACUGCUGUUAGACAUAAUAAUAAGUCCCCUUUGCCGCCCUUAUUACCCACUCCUACUACCCCUCCUAUUAAAAAUGGUGCUAUUAAAAAAAUUUCUCCUGCUGAAAUGCAAUUGAGACGUGAAAAAGGGUUGUGCUACUUUUGUGAUGAUAAGUUCACCUUUAACCACCGCUGCCCCAACCGCCAAAUGCUCAUGUUACAAUUUGAUGAAGAAGACGUUGAAUCUGAGACCAUUUGUGAUGCUACUACUGGUGCUAGUAAUACUACCUCUGAUAGUGGCAUUGAGAGUCAUCCUCAUUUGUCUUUGAAUGCUUUGAAAGGUGGCCCUGGUGUGGGGACUAUCCGAUUUAUUGCCCAUAUUAACACAUUGCCAGUAACAGUAUUGGUUGAUGGAGGAAGUUCAGAUAAUUUUCUACAACCACGGGUGGCCAAUUUUUUGAAACUACCAGUGGAACCAGUUCCCUUGUUUAGAGUUAUGGUUGGCAAUGGCAGUUACAUGACUGUUGAAGGAAUGAUUAGAAAUCUGAAUAUUCAAGCUCAGGGCACCAAGUUUCAAUUACCUGUCAUUCUAUUACCUAUAUCAGGAGCUGAUCUCAUACUUGGAGCUAAUUGGUUAAAAACACUAGGAUCCCACAUUGCAGAUUAUGACUCAUUGCAACUUAAAUUCUUGCACAAUGGCCGGUUUAUAACCUUACAGGGCAAGAAAGAUCAUUCCCCCACUCAAGCCCAAUUACACCAUCUCAAACGAAUGGUUUUUACUCAUUCUAUUGCUGAAGCUUUCAGCAUGCAACUUCUGGAAUCUCCUAAUCUUCAAUCUCCAUUAGAUGAGUUGACAGCUGAGGUAGCACCUGAUUUGGCCUUGCUAUUGCAUAAGUAUCAAGCUGUCUUUGAGACACCUUCAUCACUUCCACCACCUCGAUCACAUGAUCAUGCUAUUCCUUUGAUUGAUGGAUCUAAGCCAGUUAAAGUCAAGCCAUAUAGAUAUCUGCACAGUCAGAAGGAUGAGAUUGAAAGACUAGUACAUGGUAUGCUGGAAGAUGGUAUCAUCCAACCUAGUAAGAGUCCAUUCUCUUCACCAAUAAUCUUGGUCAAAAAGAAGGAUGGAUCAUGGAGAGUAUGUACUGAUUAUAGAGCAUUAAAUGCUGUGACGGUGAAGGACACUUUUCCCAUCCCAACAGUUGAUGAAUUGAUUGAUGAGUUAUUUGGAGCCCAAAUUUUUUCUAAGUUGGACUUGAAAUCUGGGUAUCAUCAGAUUUUAUUAAAGCCGGAGGAUAGGUACAAAACAGCUUUCAGAACACAUCAUGGGCAUUAUGAAUGGUUGGUUAUGCCAUUUGGUCUCACUAAUGCUCCCGCCACAUUCCAAAGCCUUAUGAAUGAGAUUUUUAAAGGAGUCUUGAGGAAAUUUGUAUUGGUGUUUUUUGAUGAUAUUUUGGUGUAUAGUCCUACGUGGCAUGAUCAUUUAUGUCAUUUAGAGUUGGUGUUGCAAACUCUUCAACAACAGAAACUAUAUGUUCGGCUUUCUAAGUGCUCUUUUGGAGUUACUCAAAUUGAUUAUUUGGGCCAUGUUUUAUCUGGAGCAGGGGUUGCUAUGGAGACUUCAAAAUUGGAAGCUAUUAGUAAUUGGCCACAACCUACGUCUCUCAAACAAUUAAGAGGGUUUCUAGGCCUCACGGGUUACUAUAGACGAUUCAUUCGGAACUAUGCGUCUAUGGCGGGUCCACUCACUGAUUUGUUGAAGAAAAAUUCUUUUCAUUGGUCUGAAUUAGCUUCAAAAGCUUUUUUGCAACUCAAACAAGCUAUGACUUCAGCACCAGUAUUGGCUAUUCCUAAUUUCAAAGAACCUUUUAUUUUGGAGACAGAUGCUUCAGGUUCCGGUAUUGGAGCAGUUUUGAGUCAAGACCAUCACCCAGUGGCCUAUUUCUCCAAGAAACUCUCUCCUAGAAUGCAAAGACAAUCUACCUAUGCACGAGAAUUCUAUGCAAUUACAGAAGCACUGGCUAAAUUUCGGCAUUACUUGCUUGGCCAUAAAUUCAUCAUAAGGACAGACCAAAAGAGCCUUAAAGAAUUAUUAGAACAAACAUUGCAGACUCCCGAACAACAACAAUGGUUACCUAAAUUUUUAGGUUAUGACUUUACUAUUCAGUAUAAGCCUGGAAAAGAAAAUGUUGCUGCUGAUGCCUUAUCCAGGCGUUUGUUUAUGGCUUGGUCCGAACCUACCAGUAACUGGUUGAUCAAAGUUGCAGAGGAAACAAAGAAAGAUAGUACACUCCUUGAGUUACUUACUCAGCAUGCUCAAGGGGUUAAACUUGAUCCUACAUAUGAAAUUAAGGAUGGGUUGGUAUUUAGGAAAAGGAAGUUGAUGAUUCCCAAAGGCUCUUUCUUGAGACAACAAAUACUUCAGGAAUUUCAUGAUACCAAGACAGGGGGUCAUGCAGGAAGGACUAAAACUAUUGCGAGCAUUUGCACUCAGUUUUAUUGGCCUAAAAUGCAGGAGGAUAUUAAAAAUUACAUCAAAAAUUGUAGCAUUUGUCAGCAAGCUAAGAUUGAUCAGGCUUUGCCUGCUGGUUUAUUACAACCAUUACCGGUUCCUAAACAGAUUUGGGAGGACAUUGCCAUGGACUUCAUUACUAAUCUCCCUUCUUCUCAUGGCUAUGCUACAAUUAUGGUCGUGGUCGAUCGUCUAUCCAAAUUUGGUCACUUUAUUGCUUUGAAAGCUGAGUUUAACAACAAAAUGGUAGCAGAUGCAUUCAUCAACAAUGUUGGCAAGAUCCAUGGCUUUCCUAAAUCCAUUGUGUCAGAUCGAGACAGAGUUUUUAUUAGCUCUUUUUGGCAACAAUUGUUCAAAUCACAGGGCACCACCUUAGCUAUGAGUUCUUCUUAUCACCCACAAAGUGAUGGGCAGACUGAGGUCCUUAACAAGACUCUUGAGAUGUAUUUACGAUGCUUUGUUUAUGAGAAUCCGAGGUCGUGGUAUCCAAUGUUAUCUUGGGCACAAUAUUGGUAUAAUUCCUCCUUUCAUCAUAGUAUUGCAAUGAGCCCUUUCAAGGCUGUCUUUGGUAGAGAAGCUCCUUCUGUCAAUCCUUAUCAGAUUCAAGCUAAGGAUCCUGCAUCUCUGCAAGAAACCUUAAUCCAGAGAGACAAACUUCUGCAGCAUCUUAAGGAUAAUUUAUUCAAAGCCCAGAAUUAUAUGAAGCUCCAAGCUGAUAAGAAGAGGAGAGACGUUCAACUAACAGUGGGUGAUUUAGCAUUGGUGAAAUUACAACCUUAUCGCCAACAUUCUCUUGCCCUUCGAAAGAACCAGAAGCUGGGCAUGCGUUUUUUCGGCCCUUUUAAGGUGGUACAGCGUAUUGGUCCGGUGGCUUAUAAGUUGGAAUUACCGGAAUCGGCUCGUAUACAUUCCGUUUUCCAUAUUUCAUUGCUCAAGAAGUUUUACGGCAACCAACAGCAACAAUACUUUCCAUUACCUCUUACCACAACUGAGAUUGGUCCUAUGGUUCAGCCUCAUCAGGUUCUGGAUGCCAGAACCAUCCUACGACAUGGUAUAGAAGUGCAACAAGUGUUGAUUCAAUGGGAAUUAUCAGAACCUCAGGAAGCUACUUGGGAAGAUUACAUCUUCAUUAAAGAACAUUAUCCUCAGUUCAACCUUGAGGACAAGGUUGAUUUCGAAGGGAAGGGUAAUGUAACGGUUAAAAAUGUGAGAAAGAUUGAUAUGGGAGAGAGACACGUGGAGAUGGGCAAAGGACACGUGGACGGUGAUAAGGAAAGCAAAGAAAACAUGAGAUAAAUUAAUCUUUAUUUUGAGAGGUAAUUCAAUGUUGUUAAUCUUUGUCUUUAGAAUUGAUUUCCAAUUCAUUCCUUUGACUAGACUGUUAAUUAUUUGUUAAUAAUUGGUUAUUAUUUUACUCACUCAUACUGUAACAGUUAAAAAUGUGAGAAAGAUUGAUAUGGGAGAGAGACACGUGGAGAUGGGCAAAGGACACGUGGACGGUGAUAAGGAAAGCAAAGAAGGAAGAAAAAGCAUGAGGCACCGAAAACCAAAUACUCUUUUAAAGGAUUUCCAACUGUGAGAUGGACUGCACGUGGCUGGGAGGAUUGCUGAUUAGUGGCAAUUUUUUUAUGCUUUUAUUAUUUCAUACAGAAACUUAUUCAUAAACCUUGUUNUGUAUUGUGUUGGCCACUGAUAUAAAUACAUAGUGAAUAUAUACUGUUUCACAUACAUUUUAAUCUGAACUUGGUUUUUGUUGCUUGCUUUAUAUUCUUAUUCCCCUUGUUUUAUAUUUUUUGUGAAUUUAUUUUAGUUUGACUCUAAGUAAUUUUUUCUUGAUAGGAGUACUCAUCCUUCCACAUAUUCAAUUGAAUGAUUGGUUUGGAGAGCCUGCAUCUUAAUACGUUAG